GACGAACGCUGGCGGCGUGCCUAAUACAUGCAAGUAGAACGCUGAAGGAGGAGCUUGCUUCUCCGGAUGAGUUGCGAACGGGUGAGUAACGCGUAGGUAACCUGCCUGGUAGCGGGGGAUAACUAUUGGAAACGAUAGCUAAUACCGCAUAACAGUAGAUGUUGCAUGACAUUUGCUUAAAAGGUGCAAUUGCAUCACUACCAGAUGGACCUGCGUUGUAUUAGCUAGUUGGUGAGGUAACGGCUCACCAAGGCGACGAUACAUAGCCGACCUGAGAGGGUGAUCGGCCACACUGGGACUGAGACACGGCCCAGACUCCUACGGGAGGCAGCAGGAGGGAAUCUUCGGCAAUGGACGGAAGUCUGACCGAGCAACGCCGCGUGAGGGAAGAAGGUUUUCGGAUCGUAAAGCUCUGUUGUAAGAGAAGAACGAGGGUGAGAGUGGAAAGUUCACACUGUGACGGUAUCUUACCAGAAAGGGACGGCUAACUACGUG
RNAcentral lists this ribosomal RNA (495 nucleotides) under uncultured bacterium. RNAcentral describes it as "partial 16S ribosomal RNA". It matches the Rfam family "Bacterial small subunit ribosomal RNA", at positions 28 to 507 of the family's 1533-position model. The record is from RNAcentral.